GCUUUCUGAAAGGCAAACAUAUGGCCUCUCACAUGUAUCAAGGACUGAGAAAUCUCGUGAUCCUGGCUCUAUUGCUGAGCUUUGUUCUGGGAUCGUUCAUCGUGAGCAAAAAGGUAUCUUCUGAAGCAGAAGAAUUAUUCCACUCAUGAAAAAAGGAAGUGAAAUAUAAACACACCAGUACAUGUUAUAUAAAACCAUGGGAAGAAAAGAGCACCUUAGGUAAAUAGCAAGCUACUUAUUUUAUGAUUUUUAAAUGUCACUCUUUUGUCCAAUAUUGACUUUUUUAUAUGGCGGUUGAAUUAUAGAUCUUCAAGCACCUGGGAGCCCAUGGCAGCCUUAUUUUGACACAGCUGGUCAAGUGGAGGAUUGAAGUCCCUGUAAUUAGUUGUGAGCCAAGCCAGAAUGCGAAAACUUGGUGUAGUGACUUCUCCAUCCAGGGGGUCAUUAGGAGCUCUCACAACACAAAUAAAUCAUGGAGAAACAAUACAUUAUGCUACCCGUGGAAGACAAGAGGCUGAAAUAGAGAUCUGCUGAUGGUGAUGGCCUGGCAUUCUUAACUCAGGACCAAGCUGGCUGCAUUAAUUUAAUUAACCUUUAACAAUGAAUGAAGGUUCAUUCCUGACAGGUCUGAAGAGGUGCCCAGACUUUAGCAUGUUGUUUUUAUUUUACUUUUAAAUAUAAUCUGCAGUAUUAAUUUGUUGUAGGCAUACAACACCAUGUACAAAUUCUUGUGAUGAAUCCAUUAUUCCUACCAUUUUUAACAAUCCAAUAAUGUUUGAUUCAAUGUGAAUUUUGGUCAGGUUUUAAAAUGGCAUCUUUUUGACACGGGAAAUAAUUU
Molecule: long non-coding RNA, 838 nt
Organism: Coturnix japonica (Japanese quail)
Lineage: Eukaryota; Metazoa; Chordata; Aves; Galliformes; Phasianidae
Source: Ensembl